Molecule: long non-coding RNA, 463 nt
Organism: Esox lucius (northern pike)
Lineage: Eukaryota; Metazoa; Chordata; Actinopteri; Esociformes; Esocidae
Source: Ensembl
AUUCACUUCAUGAUGGUGGAGGUCAGUGUUACAGGGUGGUAGUCAUUCACUUCAUGAUGGUGGAGGUCAGUGUUACAGGGCGGUAGUCAUUCACUUCAUGAUGGUGGAGGUCAGUGUUACAGGGUGGUAGUCAUUCACUUCAUGAUGAUGGAGGUCAGUGUUACAGGGUGGUAGUCAUUCACUACAUGAUGGUGGAGGUCAGUGUUACAGGGUGGUAGUCAUUCACUUCAUGAUGGUGGAGGUCAGUGUUACAGGGAGGUAGUCAUUAAUGAUGAUGGAGGUCAGUGUUACAGGGUGGUAGUCAUUCACUUCAUGAUGGUGGAGGUCAGUGUUACAGGGUGGUAGUCAUUCACUUCAUGAUGGUGGAGGUCAGUGCUACAGGGUGGUAGUCAUUCACUUCAUGAUGGUGGAGGUCAGUGUUACAGGGUGGUAGUCAUUCACUUCAUGAUGGUGGAGGUCAGUG